Molecule: long non-coding RNA, 14880 nt
Organism: Oncorhynchus nerka (sockeye salmon)
Lineage: Eukaryota; Metazoa; Chordata; Actinopteri; Salmoniformes; Salmonidae
Exons: 2
Source: RefSeq, a predicted model, not a curated record
UUGAACAUCACCAAUUUGACAUUGUACGAUUUCUCUUAAAUGACAAUAGAUAAAUGCAUGGUUCUUUUUAUAUUGACACAGUAGUUCUUUUACUUUUACGUGAAGCGGAAAAAUUAUUGCUCUAUUUUCAUUUUGGACCUUUAAUCCCAGAAAAAUGGCCAUAACUCAAAAACCGUUGAGGCCUAGACGCCAUCUUGUUCGGGGCCAACUGCCCAUUAUGCCAAACCUACGCUCACCAAGUUUCGGCCUCUAAAUAUUUUCCAUUUAGGAGAUAAGGCCACGUCGUGAUUGGUGAUGUUUUGUACAUUUAUUUUUUGUACAUUCCAUUCGCCCUCUUGUGGGAUUUACCGGGACAGCGGAAAAAUGACCAAAAUUUGAUUAUUUUAUCAAACGGAAACCGAAUGUCCGAGAGAGUUCGUUUGAUGACUUCCUUGAAGAUCCGACCCUGCCGCACGGCCCGACGCCGUCCGCAAAUUUUAGAAACGUUUUCGGACGUCUAGUAAGGGACCGUACAUUUGCAAUGUGGACUUUCUCACUAACCAUAUGGCAAAUGUCAAAAUGUUCCCUUAAGGUAUGUAAGUGGGACAGUUUUUUGUAUUCUGAAAUGCACUCUAACUACGUCACAUUUAGUGUCUCAUUAUGUUGCAAUGGGAAAACAGUAUUCAUGGGCACAGAAAUCCUAAAAAAAUUCAGUUUUCUAAAUCCAAUGGUUCUAACCGAGAGUCACCUUAACUUUAACACCCAAAUCGGUACUGUCAUUAUCGCAGUUCUUCAAUAAUUAAACAUAAUACUUAAUACUGUAGCUGUUUAGUUAGUCGCAUGUUCAACUAUCAUCAGCUGAUCCAGGAAAUAAUUUUCUGAAUGACAACAUCACGACAUGCAACAACAAUCAAAGUGCUUCUUCAUUCAUUACACCGGUAAAGACAGUUAUGCCAUGCUCCACGUUGGAUCCAACAUCCCUUACAAAUUUAUGUUUAUAAUGUGUUAUUGUCUGCUUGAUUUACAGUAGGGUCUCGUUAGUCUGUUUGGACACAGAGAUACUUUGCUCGUAAUGUGUAGAAAACUGUUCCUUGAUGGAUAUGCUAUUGUACAACACACAAAGCAAUUUUUCUUUAUUCAGGACAUUUAGAAUGACAUCACGUUACAGAGUAGCCUAGUGGGAUUAUUCACACAAUUAACUGGUGAUCAGGUUAUGAAAUGUCAUGACAAAGACAUUUUAGUUUCCUUGUUUCACCUGAAAUAUACAAUUAUAUAUAGUAUUAGGUCUAUGUUGUUGUAAGGUGAAAUUAUGGCUCCUACAGUAGGUCUAUGUUAUUGUUAGGUGAAGUGGGGCGGCAAGUGGGUCGACAGGUAGCCGAGCGUUGGGCCAGUAACUGAAAGGUUAUAAGAUCGAAUCCCCGAGCUGACAAGGUAAAAAUCUGUCAUUCUGCCCCUGAACAAGGCAGUUAACCCACUGUUCCUAGGCCGUCAUUGUAAAUACGAAUUUGUUACUGACUUGCCCAGUUAAAUAAAGGUAAAAUAAAAAGUUAUGGGUCCUACAGUAGGUCUAUGUUGUUGUUAGGUGAAGUUAUGGGUCCUACAGUAGAGCUAUGUUGUUGUUAGGUGAAGUUAUGGGUCCUACAGUAGGUCUAUGUUGUUGUUCGGUGAAGUUAUGGAUCCUACAGUAGGUCUAUGUUAUGGAUCCUACAGUAGGUCUAUGUUGUUGUUAGGUGAAGUAAUGGGUCCUACAGUAGGUCUAUGUUGUUGUUAGGUGAAGUUAUGGGCCAAUUUGUUAAACACUUAGUGUACAAACCCUCAUUGUCAGGUUGAUGGCAAAGCUAGCCAAAGAGCAUUUUACUUGAAGUGUUUUUUUAAAGUAUAAAUCAGUCGAUUUGCGACAAUAACACAAACAUUUUAAGCAGGAUAUUCAAACAAACCUUACAAUUAUAAUCCAAAAGUAAUGUGAAAUGCACUCAUAAGCAACCUGUUGUCAUGACUUUGGCCUCUUUGGGUAUAGCAAGCCCCAUCCCCCUCUCCCUGCCUCCCCCUUGCCUCCUUCAACUAGGUUGCUGUGGUCAGAGAGACGUCGUAAAUUCCUGAGAAGACCCUGCCACAGGGCCACACAGUAUAGAGAGAGUAGAUUUUCAUGGAGAACAAAGGAAUUCCUUCCACCUCACGGAACUUGAGGUACGAACAAAUUUCAUGUUCCCGGAGAAAGUAUAAAAGAUUGGCGAAGAAUACAGCUACGAACUGGUCCGUUUGUCACAACUUGGGGAAGCUCAUGGGAGACGGUGUGGGCACAUUACUAUAACGCUGUUUAUAUAAUAGCCUCAGAUAUUAUGUUUACAUCUAAUUGUGGUAUAAGAUGAAUGAGUGAGUAUGAUACUGUUUGCAUAAUUGUGUAAUAUGAUUUUGGACUGUUUAAUGAAGACAAAUACAAUUUCCUUUUGAUUUGAACUAAAUCAGAGGACCGCCCCUGAUCCCAGUUAGGGUCAGACAUCCUGGGACAGUCCCUUUUCGGCCCUUCCGAAUAAAACCCCCACUCGGGUUAUCGAUCAGCAGACCGAGCUUAACUCAAUUACGAGAUGGCUAAAGGUUGCAGACCAUGUUUUUAUCCAUUAGGAGGGGGACAAAGGUUGUAGACCAUUGCUGAAUCUUUUAACCAUACCACGUGGUUAAACUCGAAGACUAUCGAUACCGACAGAAUAAGAACAAGUCUUUGAUAUUAAUUACUAGUCUGCAGCUAGGAAUUCGGUAUCAUUGAACGCAAACAAUGACAACCGCCGAAACAUCCAUUCUAUAACGAAUGUCACUCUGAACUAUCCCCUCUAACCACAACCAAGAGGGAGAGAGACGGACAAUUCUAUAAAAGACGCAAACUUUUCACCAGCGAUCAAGACAACACACUGAGCGUAAAUAUAUAUAUUGAUUGCAAUUGUUCCCGAAUGAGUGAGUGUUCAUGUGCAAAGGAUUAGCAUUUCAAUUGUUAUAAUUAUCACUUUGUUGUGACUUCUUAGUCGACCCCCACUUCCCCUUUUGUCUAACAAGCCGCCAUGCCGGUUUAGCCCACUAGGGCACAUUCUCCUAUCAUUACAUAUACUUUGUUUGUUUGUUUAUUUGUUUAUGCAUUUCUGUGAAUUACUUAGUCAGUAAUAAAUAAAUUAUUUAAGACAAUUGAUGUAUAGAUGACUCAUAGUGAAGACUAGGUUCGUGCGGAUAACCAACAAUUUACGACGUUUGGAAUGAGACUAACGUGAGGUAAAGAAAUUAAUUAAUUAAUUCGAAGACUAAUUGAUCAAAUCAAAUUUAUUUAUAUAGCCCUUCGUACAUCAGCUGAUAUCUCAAAGUGCUGUACAGAAACCCAGCCUACAACCCCAAACAGCAAGCAAUGCAGGUGUAGAAUCACAGUGGCUAGGAAAAACUCCCUAGAAUGGCCAAAACCUAGGAAGAAACCUAGAGAGGAACCAGGCUAUGUGGGGUGGCCAGUCCUCUUCUGGCUGUGCCGGGUGGAGAUUAUAACAGAACAUGGCCAAGAUGUUCAAAUGUUCAUAAAUUACCAGCAUGGUCAAAUAAUAAUAAGGCAGAACAGUUGAAACUGGAGCAGCAGCACGGCCAGGUGGACUGGGGACAGCAAGGAGUCAUCAUGCCAGGUAGUCCAUGGUAGAAUUAGAGAGAUCAUACUUAAAUUCACACAGGACACCGGAUAAGACAGGAGAAGUACUCCAGAUAUAACAAACUGACCCUAGCCCCCCGACACAAACUACUGCAGCAUAAAUACUGGAGGCUGAGACAGGAGGGGUCAGGAGACACUGUGGCCCCAUCCGAUGAUACCCCCGGACAGGGCCAAACAGGAAGGAUAUAACCCCACCCACUUUGCCAAAGCCCCCACACCACUAGAGGGAUAUCUUCAACCAUCAACUUACCAUCCUGAGACAAGGCCGAGUAUAGCCCACAAAAAUCUCCGCCACGGCACAACCCAGGGGGGGGCGCCAACCCAGACAGGAAGAUCACAUCAGUGACUCAACCCACUCAAGUGACGCACCCCUCCUAGGGACGGCAUGAAAGAGCACCAGUAAGCCAGUGACUCAGCCCCUGUAAUAGGGUUAGAGGCAGAGAAUCCCAGUGGAAAGAGGGGAACCGGCCAGGCAGAGACAGCAAGGGUGGUUCGUUGCUGCAGAGCCUCUCCGUUCACCUUCACACUCCUGGGCCAGACUACACUCAAUCAUAUGACCCACUAAAGAGGUGAAGGUUGAGACCGAGUCUGCGUCUCUCACAUGGGUAGGCAGACCAUCCCAUAAAAAUGGAGCUCUAUAGGAGAAAGCCCUGCCUCCAGCUGUUUGCUUAGAAAUUCUAGGGACAAUUAGGAGGCCUGCGUCUUGUGACCGUAGCGUACGUGUAGGUAUGUACUGCAGGACCAAAUCAGAGAGAUAGGUAAGAGCAAGCCCAUGUAAUGCUUUGUAGGUUAGCAGUAAAACCUUGAAAUCAGCCCUUGCCUUGACAGGAAGCCAGUGCAGGGAGGCUAGCACUGGAGUGAUAUGAUCAAACUUUUUGGUUCUAGUCAGGAUUCUAGCAGCCGUAUUUAGCACGAACUGAAGUUUAUUUAGUGCUUUAUCCAGGUAGCCGGAAAGUAGAGCAUUGCAGUAGUCUAACCUAGAAGUAACAAAAGCAUGGACUACUUUUUCUGCAUCAUUUUUGGAAAGAAAGUUUCUGAUUUUUUGCAAUGUUACGUAGAUGGAAAAAAUCUGUAAUUGAAACAGUCUUGAUAUGUUUGUCAAAAGAGAGAUCAGGGUCCAGAGUAACACCGAGGUCCUUCACAGUUUUAUUUGAGACGACUGUACAACCAUUAAGAUUAAUUGUCAGAUUCAACAGAAGAUCUCUUUGUUUCUUGGGACCUAGAACAAGCAUCUCUGUUUUGUCCGAGUUUAAAAGUAGAAGGUUUGCAGCCAUCCACUUCCUUAUGUCUGAAACACAGGCUUCUAGUGAGGUCAAUUUUGGGGCUUCACCAUGUUUCAUUGAAAUGUACAGCUGUGUCAUCCGCAUAGCAGUGAAAGUUAACAUUAUGUUUUCGAAUGACAUCCCCAAGAGGUAAAAUAUAUAGUGAAAACAAUAGUGGUCCUAAAACAGAACCAGAGGACAAACCGAUAUCUUUCCGACAGAUAAGAUCUAAACCAGGCCAGAACUUGUCCGUGUAGACCAAUUUGGAUUUUCAAUCUCGCCAAAAGAAUGUGGUGAUCGAUGGUAUCACAAGCAACACUAAGGUCUAGGAGCACGAGGACAGAUGCAGAGCCUCGGUCUGAUGCCAUUAAAAGGUAAUUUAUCACCUUCACAAGUGCAGUCUCAGUGCUAUGAUGGGGUUUAAAACCAGACUGAAGCAUUUCGUAUACAUUGUUUAUCUUUAGGAAGUUGCUGCGCAACAGCUUUUUCAAAAAGAAUUGAGAGGAAUGGAAGAUUCGAUAUAGGCCGAUAGUUUGUUUAUAUUGUCUGGGUCAAGGUUCGGCUUUUUCAAGAGAGGCUUUAUUACUGCCAUUUUUAAUGAGUUUGGUACACAUCCGGUGGAUAGAGAGCCGUUUAUUAUGUUCAACAUAGGAGGUUCAAGCACAGGAAGCAGCUCUUUCAGUAGUUUAGUUGGAAUAGGGUCCAGUAUGCAACUUGAAGGUUUAGAGGCCAUGAUUAUUUGCAUCAUUGUGUCAAGAGAUAUAGUACUAAAACACUUGUGUCUCUCAUGAUCCUAGGUCCUGGCAGAGUUGUGCAGACUCAGGACAACUGAGCUUUGAAGGAAUACGCAGAUUUAAAGAGGAGUCCGUAAUUUGCUUUCUAAUAAUCAUGAUCUUUUCCUCAAAGAAGUUCAUGAAUUUAUUACUGCUGAAGUGAAAGCCAUCCUCACUUGGGGAAUGCUGCUUUUUAGUUAGCUUUGCGACAGUAUAAAAAAUAAAUUUUGGAUUGUCCUCAAUUAAGUUGGGAAAAUAGGAUGAUCGAGCAGCAGUAAGGGCUCUUCGAUACUGCACGGUACUGUCUUUCUAAGCUAGUCGGAAGACUUCCAGUUUGGUUUGGCGCCAUUUCCGUUCCAAUUUUCUGGAAGCUUGCUUCAGAGCUCGGGUAUUUUCUGUAUACCAGGGAGCUAGUUUCUUAUGAGAAAUGUUUUUAGUUUUUAGGGGUGCAACUGUAUCUAGGGUAUUGCGCAAGGUUCAACUGAGUUCCUCAGUUAGGUGGUUAACUGAUUUUUGUCCUCUGACGUCCUUGGGUAGGCAGAGGGAGUCUGGAAGGGCAUCAAGGAAUCUUUGUGUUGUCUAUGAAUUUAUAGCACAACGUUUUAUGCUCCUUGGUUGGGGUCUGAGCAGAUUAUUUGUUGCAAUUGCAAACAUAAUAAAAUGGUGGUCCGAUAGUCCAGGAUUAUGAGAAAAAAACAUUAAGAUCCACAACAUUUAUUCCAUGGGACAAAACUAGGUCCAGAGUAUGACUGUGACAGUGAGUAGGUCCAGAAACAUGUUGGACAAAACCCUGAGUCGAUGAUGGCUCCCAAAUCCUUUUGGAGUGGAUCUGUGGACUUUUCCAUGUGAAUAUUAAAGUCACCAAAAAUUAGAAUAUUAUCUGCUAUGACUACAGGGAUAGGAAUUCAGGGAACUCAAUGAGGAACGCUGUAUAUGGCCCAGGAGGCCUGUAAACAGUAGCUAUAAAAAGUGAUUGAGUAGGCAGAUUUAGUGGGUCUCAUGGUGGGUGUCUUUUAGGUCCCAGUUGUUGUUACUAGUCAACUUUCAGUGAACACCCCCAUAGUGUCAUUCAGAACCCCUCCUAAAACCUGUUUAGUUUUGGUUGUUGUCAAUGACUCUUUGUUAGAUCCCUCUUCUAUGUAAGGGACAUUUUUGGUUUUCUUGCUGAGAAACACAAACAAUGUACAUCCAAUUCAAUGGUAUUUCCAUAGAAUGCUCAUUAGUCUUUCAGUUGUUAAUCUUCUGUUUUUUAUCCACUUAUGUUUAAUUGGUAAAUAAUUGUUUAUUUUCAUUUGUAUUUGUUUUUUUCCUGUGAAGCCAUUGUGUUGCAUCCAUGUCUGAAAUGUGCUGUAUAAAUAAAGCUUGUUUUGAUAUUAACAUGCAAAACAAAUUAACCCAAUGACUGACCAAUCAACAGAAUCUUGCUAAACCAAUUUACAAAUAUGUGCUAAAGCAACGCAUAUCUUAGUACGAAAAACAGUUUCUUCCACUAUGUCAAUAUAGUACAUGGUAUGUCCAUUUAGUAUCACUUUUCAACCAACCCAGUGCAUUUGUUGAAAAUUGGGAAAAAAGUUGAAAUCAACAAUCCGUCAAAGGAUUCAACUAUUGAAAACUGAAACAAACAAAUGGAUCAACCAGAUCAAUCCCACUUUUCCAGCCUGCUGAAGGCGUGGUGGAGUGGUAAACACCAUCCCCGGCUCUACCAGAGCGUUGAGGUGGUCUCCCACAGCUCUGCUUAUGUCAUGUCAUGCAUAAGCAAUGUAAAGAGUAGUGGGGAAAAGUACAUUUUACACAAAUUACCUUCACAAUAGCAAAGAACAAAUGUGUGCCUGAGAGGAAAUGUACUUUCAUACAGCCAAAAGGGGUGGGAAAUUACACCAAUAUCAGUGGACAAUUUGUACUCAUGUAAAUAAACAUAGAUGGAACAUAUUCCCUUUUGCUGACGUGAUGAACCGCUAAGGGGACGUAAAUAUUUACCAUCUAAACCACACUUCUACACCUCUCUGGCUGUAGAAGUGUUCUUCCUAGCCAGUCCCUCAACAGCUCUCUGACUGAGCUCCACCCUCACUGGGUCUUCAGAGGAGAGGAAGGCUGAGGGAUGGAAGGAUCAGUCAGUCAAUAAAGUGUAGAGCUGCUGUCUAUGCUGUCUGACAAAAUCACUAUUUUAGUAGUUAAAUGAAGUAAAUAAGGAUAUAUGACUGCUGAAUACCAACUAUCAAUCAAUCACUUAUUACUUCCGGCGCCGACAGAGAUGGCCGCCUCGCUUCGCGUUCCUAGGAAACUAUGCAGUUUUUUGUUUUUUUACGUGUUAUUUCUUACAUUGGUACCCCAGGUCAUCUUAGGUUUCAUUACAUACAGUCGAUACAAUAUAAGAGCAGCGUCAACUCACCAUCAGUACGACCAAGAAUAUGUCUUUCGCGAAGCGGAUCAUGUGUUCUGCCUUUCACUCAGGACAACGGAAUAGAUCCCAGCCGGCGACCCAAAAAAACGACUUCGUAAAAGAGGGAAACGAAGCGGUCUUCUGGUCAGACUCCGGAGACGGGCACAUCGCGCACCACUCCCUAGCAUACUUCUCGCCAAUGUCCAGUCUCUUGACAACAAGGUUGAUGAAAUCCGAGCAAGGGUAGCAUUCCAGAGGGACAUCAGAGUAAUGUCACUGUAACGUUCUUUGCUUCACGGAAACAUGGCUCACUGGAGAGACGCUAUCGGAGUCGGUGCAGCCAGCUGGUUUCUCAGCGCAUCACGCCGACAGAAACAAACAUCUUUCUGGUAAGAAGAGGGGCGGGGGCGUAUGCUUUAUGGUUAACAGGACGUGGUGUGGUCACAACAACAUACAGGAACUCAAGUCCUUCUGUUCACCUGAUUUAGAAUUCCUCACAAUCAAAUGUCGACCGCAUUAUCUACCAAGGGAAUUCUCUUCGAUUAUAAUCACAGCCGUAUAUAUUCCCCCCCAAGCAGACACAUCGAUGGCUCUGAACAAACUUUAUUUGACUCUUUGCAAACUGGAAUCCACAUAUCCCGAGGCUGCAUUCAUUGUAGCUGGGGAUUUUAACAAGGCUAAUCUGAAAACAAGACUCCCUAAAUUGUAUCAGCAUAUCGAUUGCGCAACCAGGGCUGGCAAAACCUUGGAUCAUUGCUAUUCUAACUUCCGCGACGCUUAUAAGGCCCUCCCCCGCUCUCCUUUCGGAAAAACUGACCAUGACUCCAUUUUGUUGCUCCCUGCCUACAGACAGAAGCUAAAACAAGAAGCUCCCGCGCUGAGGUCUGUUCAACGCUGGUCUGACCAAUCUGAUUCCACACUCCAAGACUGCUUCCAUCACGUGGACAGGGAUAUGUUUCGUAUUGCGUCAAACAACAACAUUGACGAAUAUGCUGAUUCGGUGAGCGAGUUCAUUAGAAUGUGUGUUGAAGAUGUUGUUCCCAUAGCAACGAUUAAAACAUUCCCAAACCAGAAACCGUGGAUUGAUGGCAGCAUUCGCGUGAAACUGAAAGCGCGAACCACUGCUUUUAAUCAGGGCAAGGUGACCGGAAACAUGACCGAAUACAAACAGUGUAGCUAUUCCCUCCGCAAGGCAAUCAAACAAGCUAAGCGUCAAUAUAGAGACAAAGUAGAGUUACAAUUCAACGGCUCAGACAGAAGAGGUAUGUGGCAGAGUCUAUAGUCAAUCACGGAUUACAAAAAGAAAACCAGCCCAAUCACGGACCAGGAUGUCUUGCUCCCAGGCAGACUAAAUAACUUUUUUGCCCGCUUUGAGGACAAUACAGUGCCACUGACACGGCCCGCAACCAAAACAUGCGGACUCUCCUUCACUGCAGCCGAGGUGAGUAAAACAUUUAAACGUGUUAACCCUCGCAAGGCUGCAGGCCCAGACGGCAUCCCCAGCCGCGCCCUCAGAGCAUGCGCAGACCAGCUGGCUGGUGUGUUUACGGACAUAGUCAAUCAAUCCCUAUCCCAGUCUGCUGUUCCCACAUGCUUCAAGAGGGCCGCCAUUGUUCCUGUUCCCAAGAAAGCUAAGGUAACUGAGCUAAACGACUACCGCCCCGUAGCACUCACUUCCGUCAUCAUGAAGUGCUUUGAGAGACUAGUCAAGGACCAUAUCACCUCCACCCUACCUGACACCCUAGACCCACUCCAAUUUGCUUACCGCCCAAAUAGGUCCACAGACGAUGCAAUCUCAACCACACUGCACACUGCCCUAACCCAUCUGGACAAGAGGAAUACCUAUGUGAGAAUGCUGUUCAUCGACUACAGCUCAGCAUUUAACACCAUAGUACCCUCCAAACUCGUCAUCAAGCUCGAGACCUGGGUCUCGACCCCGCCCUGUGCAACUGGGUACUGGACUUCCUGACGGGCCGCCAACGUUUGGUGAGGGUGGAUAACAACAUCUCCACCCCGCUGAUCCUCAACACUGGGGCCCCACAAGGGUGCGUUCUGAGCCCUCUCCUGUACUCCCUGUUCACCCACGCGUGGCCACGCACGCCUCCAACUCAAUCAUCAAGUUUGUGGGCGACACAACAGUGGUAGGCUUGAUUACCAACAACGACGAGACGGCCUACAGGGAGGAGGUGAGGGCCCUCGGAGUGUGGUGUCAGGAAAAUAACCUCACACUCAACGUCAACAAAACUAAGGAGAUGAUUGUGGACUUCAGGAAACAGCAGAGGGAACACCCUCCCUAUCGACAUCGAUGGAACAGUAGUGGAGAGGGUAGUAAGUUUUAAGUUCCUCGGUGUACACAUCACAGACAAACUGAAUUGGUCCACCCACACAGACAGCAUCGUGAAGAAGGCGCAGCAGCGCCUCUUCAACCUCAGGAGGCUGAAGAAAUUCGGCUUGUCACCUUCUACAGAUGCACAAUCGAGAGCAUCCUGUCGGGCUGUAUCACCGCCUGGUACGGCAACUGCUCCGCCCACAACCGUAAGGCUCUCCAGAGGGUAGUGAGGUCUGCACAACGCAUCACCGGGGGCAAACUACCUGCCCUCCAGGACACCUACACCACCCAAUGUCACAGGAAGGCCAUAAAGAUCAUCAAGGACAACAACCACCCGAGCCACUGCCUGUUCACCCCACUAUCAUCCAGAAGGCGAGGUCAGUACAGGUGCAUCAAAGCUGGGACCGAGAGACUGAAAAACAGCUUCUAUCUCAAGGCCAUCAGACUGUUAAACAGUCACCACUAACAUUGAGUGGCUGCUGCCAACACACUGACUCAACUCCAGCCACUUUAAUAAUGGGAAUUGAUGUAAAAUAUAUCACUAGCCACUUUAAACAAUGCUACUUAAUAUAAUGUUUACAUACCCUACAUUAUUCAUCUCAUAUGUAUACGUAUAUACUGUACUCUAUAUCAUCUACUGCAUCUUGCGUAUGCCGCUCUGUACCAUCACUCAUUCAUAUAUCUUUAUGUACAUAUUCUUUAUCCCUUUACACUUGUGUGUAUAAGGUAGUAGUUUUGGAAUUGUUAGAUUACUCGUUGGUUAUUACUGCAUUGUCGGAACUAGAAGCACAAGCAUUUCGCUACACUCGCAUCAACAUCUGCUAACCAUGUGUAUGUGACAAAUAAAAUUAGAUUUGAUUUACUUAGAUCAUGUAUUUUCAGGUAGAAAUGCAUCUUUGGGACAUCCCUAGCCCAUAAGUUGACAUUUAAAAUGGUAGAGGUUAGGGUUUAGGGUAGAGAUGUCCUAGGGAUCCCAGAUAUCAUUGAUCAUUGUGCAUUUGUAACCGAUGUGAAGUGGCUUGCUAGUUAGCAGGGUGCGUGCUAAUAGCGAUGGGUAACGAUGGUUCGUAGGUGUCAGUUGUUGAUGUGUGCAGAGGGUCCCUGAUUCGAGCCCAGGUAGGGAAGAGGAGAGGGAGGAAGCUAUAUUGUUACACAUUCUUCGGUCUCUUUUACGUAUGAUGUGUAAAAGAAACACAGACAAGACAAGUAGACACGCAGGUCAUUAUGGUCAUUGUAGUUUAAUAAUAGCAUCUAAUUAUGCCAAUCUGUAUGUGGGGUUGUUAGAGAAGAAUGUGAUCGACAGCCCUAACAAUCCAUUUUAGCCAAUGAGGCUCUGAAAAAGGCUUCAUUGAUGACGUGUUCCUUCUAUUCCAGGGGACAGCAGAGGAACUUCAUUGAUUCCACUCCUUCAUCAAUACAAGCAUUGAACAUCUGAAAUUCACCCUCACCUUUGAUGAGCAUGAAACAAGUUAUCUGGACAUUUUGAUUAAGAGGGAGGGGAGUGGCUUUAGCACAGACCUAUACAGGAAGCCGACGGACAGGAAUUCCCUGUUACGCUGAGACAGCUUCCACCCUACACCCCUAAAAAAGAGCCUCCCCAUCAGCCAAUACAGUUGCAUACACAGGAUUUGUAGUACACAGAGUGACUAUGACAAACAAGCCGACUGUCUGGAUGAGUGUUUCAGACAGCGGGGUUACCCAGAGGAAUGGCUGGAUGACGCAAGGGAUCGUUAUAAAAAUACAGUGGUGUAAAAAGUACCCAAUUGUCAUAAUUGAGUAAAGAAAACAUUUAAUAUUUCAUUUUAAUUUUGUAAAUUUAAAACAGAAACAUAGCUGUUUCGUGGCUACGACUAAGUUAAUAAGUCAUUAACCAGACUGUGUUGUUACACUGGUGAGUAAAAACUCAUGCUUCCUACACUUUACCUUGUUGUCUGAAAAUAAAAUAUACAUUUUACUCAACUGCGUCCAGUCAGCAGAUGGACUAGAUGCUGCUUAGGCCGCCCGCUGUGACUCCGUCAAGAAUUCUGGAGAGCAAGUUUGUAUGAAGGUCUGGUUAUUAAAUGGGUACAUAGUUCAAUAGUAAUAUCCUCUAAAACGCUCUGGUGACAAACGUUGCUGUUGUAUUUAUCACUGUAAAAAAACAAACUCCAAAUGCAUUUAUAGGUAGCUAGCUAACAGCCAUGGAGGAGGGUGCAAGGAUAGCAGACCCAACUGUCAGUGAGAGAGGAGGCUAUUCUGGAUAGGACAGGUACUUUUGUGUUGUUCCAGUCCCUAGAAGUGAGGACGGAGAUAAUAGUAACAUAAUAUUCAGUGUGGUGUAAUUUGACUAUAAUGAAGUCUGUUUCUUGUGAGGUUUUCUGUCCCCAGAUAAAGAGCGCUAUGAAAGCCAGUCUACAUAUGAAGAGGUUUAUGUAUUCAUUUGUGAUGCUAUCCUUGAUAUGCUGCUGUUAUUGUCACAUGCUACACAUGCACAUAUGUGUGCCCAUGCAUCUAUCAAUCCAAUGUUAUCAUGAUUUGUUAUCAGGGAUAUUACACUUUAGUAAUCCACAAUGACCUGGAGAUGUAACAGUCUAAUAAUUACAUUGUCUUUCAUAUUCCAACAGAUACCUUGUAACUGGAGAUUCCUCAAAACGAUUUCCUACAGUUAAUGUGUAGGGCACUGCAAGGUUGGGUGACCAGGGUCAUCUGGGGCUGCCUCCUGGAGGAUUUCAGGUGUGUGAAGGCUACCUGUGUCCUGCGUAACUUCAUGAGGAUCGACACGAGAACCAGGAGGGGAUCUGCUGCUCGCCGCCAUGUCCCAGAGGAGAAGUCUGCUGCUCUGCAGGAUGUUUCAAGGAUGGGGUCCAACAACGCAGCAAGAGAGGCAUUCCAUGUGCAGGAGAUCUUCACCUCCUACUUCUUGAAAGAGGGUGCUGUUUCCUGGCAACACCAUAGACUACACUAUGCACAACCAAAGGCUCUUUUAAAAGCCAUUCACAUUGCAAUAAGAGUAUUCUUCCAUUUACUUAGGUAUGUCAACUGAAGUUAUUCAAUUCACAGUUUCUCUCCCUUGAUUUCUACUUCUCAGGUGAGGGUGCUGUUUAGUUAAGGGUGUGAUGUCUGUGCAAAAAACAAAACAGGCUAUUUUAAAUCACCCACAUUGAAAAAAUGUAGAACAAUUAGACACCCUAUAACCCACACCUACACACUCAUGUAUCAAUCUGAUUGAUGGAUUGUGUUGUGCAGUAAGCAGGUUCAGAUGUAUAACUGUGGCUCCUUCCACCUUCAACGAAUAGGCAAGAGGGCCAACCAUGGAGAAUAGUAAGACACUUCAUUAUUUCUAUAACUACACUAUAUUGUUUGUCCUUGUGUGUCCGUUCAUGUUUUUCAGCAUAAUGUCCUCUGCAGCCACUUAGUGUGGUGUGGACACCAGGUGAGGCCACACACAGAUUCCUGUUGAACACUGUCACUACCUCAUUUUCUCAAUAACAGUCUCUCUCCUUUACUUCAUCCCUCUCUCCCCUUCUCCAUAAAUCCUCUAGGUUAUAUCAGCUGUGUCGGUGAACCCCUCCUGCAUCUGAACUGGCUACAAUAGAGGGCACAGCAUGAUCAGAGAUAUGUUUUGAUGUGAGAGGAUGCCAACCCCCAGUCCCAUCAUCACCACCUCACCUGCUUUUAAGAUAACCUUUGGGCUGAUGAGAGACACUAUUAUGUAAUUGUGAUGAACUGAGAGAAUAUUUAGGUAGCACUGUGAUUCAUUAAUCAUGUGAUGCCUUCCCUGCUCCUAUGUUCUUACCUCUUUCCCUUUCUGUCUUUUACACCUCUCCUUCCACCUCCUCUGUUUAUAUAAUUCACAACAGAUGUUCAUUGAAGUACAGUUUGAACUUGUAUUUAUAACAUUUGGAUAAUGAGCUUUUCAAUAAAGCGUUUCACGUUUCACAUACGAUGAAAAUUACAGGUCUCUAUCAUAUUUUUAAGUAGGAGAACGUGCACAAUUGGUGGCUGACUAAAUACUUUUUUGCCCCACUGUACAUGAUCAGUGAAUAUAUUAAAUGUAAAGGCUACAAUGUAGAGAUCUCAUGCAUAAUAAUAACUACAUGUACAGUGGGGCAAAAAAGUAUUUAGUCAGCCACCAAUUGUGCAAGUUCUCCCACUUAAGAUGAGAGAGAACUGUAAUUUUCAUCAUAGCUGCUUACCUAUUGCAGAUUCAGUCUUCCCAGCCUGGUACAGGUCUAGAAUUUUGUUUCUGAUGUCCUUUGACAGCUCUUUGGUCUUGGCCAUAGUGGAGUUUGGAGUGUGACUGUUUGAGGUUGUGGACAGGUGUAUUUUAUACUGAUAACAAGUUCAAACAGAUGCCAUUAAUACAGGUAACGAGUGGAAGACAGAGGAGCUUCUUAAAGAAGAAGUUACAGGUCUGUGAGAGCCAGAAAUGUUGCUUGUUUGUAGGUGACCAAAUACUUAUUUUCCACCAUAAUUUGCAAUUAAAUUCAUAAAAAAUCCUACAA